This 83-nucleotide transfer RNA is filed under the name Treponema vincentii ATCC 35580. RNAcentral describes it as "tRNA-Leu". It matches the Rfam family "tRNA". Rfam says of the family: Transfer RNA (tRNA) molecules are approximately 80 nucleotides in length. The record is from RNAcentral. Lineage: Bacteria; Pseudomonadati; Spirochaetota; Spirochaetia; Treponematales; Treponemataceae.
GCGAGAGUGGUGGAAUUGGCAGACACGCCAGACUUAGGAUCUGGUGCCUCGGCAUGAGGGUUCAAGUCCCUCCUCUCGCAGGA